RNAcentral lists this long non-coding RNA (1261 nucleotides) under Betta splendens (Siamese fighting fish). Its description in RNAcentral is "lncRNA (ENSBSLG00000018684.1)". The record is from RNAcentral. Lineage: Eukaryota; Metazoa; Chordata; Actinopteri; Anabantiformes; Osphronemidae.
AAUACAACAUAAUGACAAAUCUGUCAUGUUUACUGACUUAAGUUUAAUUUGGCUCAAUUCAUUUCACUACAAAGAUGUAAUUAAUCUUGUGUAGGAUGGGUUCAACCGCAAAAGGCUGCAGAAGAACCUGCCGCCCUGCAUUGUGGAGCCAGAUAUUCUGAAUCUACCCCCUCACCCAAACACUUGUUGUGGCUGCCAGACACCUUCUUGUGACUUCAACCUAAAUCAAAAAGAUGAUCUUGCUUCAACGUCAUGUGCCCAGCAUCAGGAGUCUGAUGAGCAGAUAGAAAAACUACUGGAGGACAUAAUGAUGGGCCUCAACAUCCUGCCCAACGUGGAGAAGGAGGUCAGGAAGUCUCACGACCCUGAACAGGGCCUUGUCGGAGCGCUGACCUCGGGUCAGGUCCCUGCGACACUGAACAUGCCAGAAUGCGGCCAAGUGCGUCCUGCUGUCAGUGUGCCAGGCUGCACCUUUUGCCAGGAUCUGGGGACAAGCAGUUGCCAUUCAGUAUCAGCAACGGGUACGAAACCAUCUUUGGAAACUCCGAAGCCGCCUGACAGCAGCCUAUCAGUGAUACAGCUGGACAGCGUACAGCAGCUGCAGUGCAUUGCAGACGGGACAUGUUGUGAGAGCGCGUCACUGUCCAAGAGUCAAGAAUGUCUUCAUGAAGAAUCCAGAACAAAAUCAGUCACACAUCAGGAAGCACCUGGACAAGACACUGAGCACAUCCAACAUGUAGAUCAUGUACCUACGACUGAGACGCAGUCUGAGUAUAGUGUCGUCUUAUCUUGGAUGAAUGAGAUGCAGAUUCCUCCAUGUCUUUCUCCUCUAGGCCCAUGCCAGCAACAGGCCUCUCUACAUGAGCGACCGUGGCUCACAGAAAACCCUGGAUGCCUACGGCUUCCUCCUGGUGCCAUCACUCGCAUGAAAAAGCGAGAGCCUUGCACUAUGAAGCACUUGGAAAAGAGAGGAACAAUAUCUGGAUGGCAACAAGAUGGAGCAGAACCAAACUCAGAGCCCAGGAAGAUAGUGGAGAGUUUAAGGUGUAAACAGGCCGGCACAUCAGGAGAACCUGUAGCGUCGAAAAGGAGGAAGAGAAAGUACACAAGCCGUCUGCAGGACACUGCUCCUCCUUUAGCGUACAAAGGUGUGCCUGUCAGUGAUGGAACAAAAUAUGUCAAAAUGAGCAGUUGCUCUGUCAGCUUGUCAACCAACAAUAUAUUGGCCAAAAGAAGAGAGAGAGGGCGAUCAGCUCUCUGA